Molecule: long non-coding RNA, 898 nt
Filed under: Dasypus novemcinctus (nine-banded armadillo)
Lineage: Eukaryota; Metazoa; Chordata; Mammalia; Cingulata; Dasypodidae
Description: lncRNA (ENSDNOG00000052390.1)
Source: RNAcentral
CCUUGGGCUCCUGGCUCUCCCCCCAGCUGCCAGCCUAGGGGCCAGCCACCCGGCCCUGAGAUGGCAGCCUCCAUGGGACCGGGCAGGCAACAUGCCAGAACUCGCUGACUUCCCGGAGCUCAGCAGAGCUACCAGACCUGGGGGCUGGUGGGGGGUGGGGGGGUCCACCCUCCCCCUGGGCCUGGGACAGCACACACUGAAUUGACCCCCUUUCUUUCGGAACCAACAGACUCUUUUCUUCAACAUGUUUGAGUCUCCUGCGGAGCUGUUUGAUGAGCCCAUCUUUAUCACGGUGGUAGAUUCCCGCUCCCUCAGGACAGACGCACUCAUUGGGGAGUUCCGGGUAAUUGAUAUUGGCUUUUUUUUUUUUUUAAACAAAUCAAGUUUGUUGAUACAUAUUAAUAAAGCAUAAAUCCAUCCAAAGUGUACAAUUAAUGGUAUUUGGUAUAAUCACCUAGUUGUGCAUUCAUCACUUCAGUCAUUAUUUUCAUUAUUUCAAUAACAACAAUAAUAAUAAUAAACAGAAAACAAAAAAACCCAUCCUCUCAAUCUCUCUAUGCUUUCCCUGCCAUACAGAUUUGCUGUUGUUUCCGUCUCUCUAGUUUAUUAGUAUUUACAUUUUGUAAAAAGUCUUAUAUAUGCGAUAUUACCCAUAUCCGUGUUUUGCGUGAGGUUUCACUGCUACACAUUCUCAUGUUACACUUUUUAGCUUUCCUUCUAGUAAUAUGCAUGUCCUUAGACUUUUCCUUUCAACCACUGUCAUAUCCAUAAACUAGCUCUGCUGGUCACAAACAUAGUGAUGUGUUCUCACCAUUUCCAUUCAUUUCCAAAGAUUUACAAACAAACCUUUAACCAGUUCUGCACAGAUUAACCAUCAGCUGUCCAUUCUCUACCCUCC